CUUCCCAGUGGGUUUUAACCUAAACGGAUGCGGUAAAUCGUGCUAAGGUAGCUAAAUUAUGGCCCAUUAAUUGUGGGUCUUGCGAACGGCUUGACGAGUUCCCUACUGUCUCAAAGUUGUUUUGGUGAACUUGAAUUGGAUGUGCAAAUGCUUCCAUGAGUAAGAAAGACGAGAAGACCCCGUGAAGUUAGAAAUUUUUUGUCUAGUGUCAGUUUUCAGGUUUUUUUAAGUUUGUAGAUGUGAAUCGAGAUCUUGAGAGUUGAAAAAUAUGGCUCUAUUGUUUUGGCUGGGGCAGCAAGAAGGCAAAACUAGACCUUCUUUAUCAGAGAACGGGUGCGUUACGACCCAUAGUUUUGAAAGGAAUGAUUAUCAGAAGAAGUUACUCCGGGGAUAACAGCGUUAUCCGUCCUGAUAGUUCUUAUAGAUGGGCGGGUUUGCGACCUCGAUGUUGGCUCUGGUUAUCCUGAGGCUUGCAGGAGGUCUCGAGGGUUGGUUUGUUCGCCCAUUAAAAACCGACGUGAUCU
RNAcentral lists this ribosomal RNA (524 nucleotides) under Mimachlamys gloriosa. RNAcentral's name for it is "partial 16S ribosomal RNA". It matches the Rfam family "Bacterial large subunit ribosomal RNA", at positions 1859 to 2606 of the family's 2925-position model. Lineage: Eukaryota; Metazoa; Mollusca; Bivalvia; Pectinida; Pectinidae. The record is from RNAcentral.